RNAcentral lists this ribosomal RNA (459 nucleotides) under uncultured bacterium. RNAcentral's name for it is "partial 16S ribosomal RNA". It matches the Rfam family "Bacterial small subunit ribosomal RNA", at positions 338 to 795 of the family's 1533-position model. The record is from RNAcentral.
CCUACGGGAGGCAGCAGUGAGGAAUAUUGGUCACUGGGCGCGAGCCUGAACCAGCCAAGCCGCGUGAGGGAAGACGGUCCUAUGGAUUGUAAACUUCUUUUGUCGGGGAGCAAAAGCAGCCUCGCGAGGCGUUCCGAGAGUACCCGAAGAAAAAGCAUCGGCUAACUCCGUGCCAGCAGCCGCGGUAAUACGGAGGAUGCGAGCGUUAUCCGGAUUUAGUGGGUUUAAAGGGUGCGCAGGCGGAAGAUUAAGUCAGCGGUAAAAUUGAGGGGCUCAACCUCUUCGAGCCGUUGAAACUGGUUGUCUUGAGUGGGUGAGAAGUAUGCGGAAUGCGUGGUGUAGCGGUGAAAUGCAUAGAUAUCACGCAGAACUCCGAUUGCGAAGGCAGCAUACCGGCGCUCAACUGACGCUGAUGCACGAAAGUGUGGGUAUCGAACAGGAUUAGAUACCCGUGUAGUC